UCCUGGGUGGCGGAAUGGCAAACGCACCUGACUGUUAAUCAGGCGCCGCAAGGUUUGCAGGUUCGAGUCCUGCCCCAGGAGCCA
RNAcentral lists this transfer RNA (84 nucleotides) under Pseudomonadota bacterium. RNAcentral describes it as "tRNA-Asn". It matches the Rfam family "tRNA". From Rfam's summary of the family: Transfer RNA (tRNA) molecules are approximately 80 nucleotides in length. Their secondary structure includes four short double-helical elements and three loops (D, anti-codon, and T loops). Lineage: Bacteria; Pseudomonadati; Pseudomonadota. RNAcentral also lists the same sequence under 1 other name. The record is from RNAcentral.